GACCAGACUCCUACGGGAGGCAGCAGUGGGGAAUCUUGCACAAUGGGCGAAAGCCUGAUGCAGCGACGCCGCGUGGGCGAAGAAGGCUUUCGGGUUGUAAACUUCUUUUAAGAGGGAAGAGUAGAAGACGGUACCUCUUGAAUAAGCCACGGCUAACUACGUGCCAGCAGCCGCGGUAAUACGUAGGUGGCAAGCGUUAUCCGGAUUUACUGGGUGUAAAGGGAGCGUAGACGGCAUAGCAAGUCUGAAGUGAAAGCCCGUGGCUCAACCGCGGGACUGCUUUGGAAACUGUUAAGCUGGAGUACUGGAGAGGCAAGCGGAAUUCCUAGUGUAGCGGUGAAAUGCGUAGAUAUUAGGAGGAACACCAGUGGCGAAGGCGGCUUGCUGGACAGAGACUGACGUUGAGGCUCGAAAGCGUGGGGAGCAAACAGGAUUAGAUACCCCAGUAA
This 449-nucleotide ribosomal RNA is filed under the name uncultured bacterium. RNAcentral describes it as "partial 16S ribosomal RNA". It matches the Rfam family "Bacterial small subunit ribosomal RNA", at positions 329 to 793 of the family's 1533-position model. The record is from RNAcentral.